AGCAGCCGCGGUAAUUCCAGCUCCAAUAGCGUAUAUUAAAGUUGUUGCAGUUAAAAAGCUCGUAGUUGAAUUUCGGGAUUGGCGCAUCGGUCGUGCCCCACGGGGUAUGAACUGGUGCAGUCAAUUUCUCACCUUCUGGAGAACCGCGAUGUCCUUAAUUGGAUGCCGCGGGGAACCAGGACCUUUACUUUGAAAAAAUUAGAGUGUUUAAAGCAGGCAUUUUUGCUUGAAUACAUUAGCAUGGAAUAAUAAAAUAGGACGGCAUGGUUCUAUUUUGUUGGUUUCUAGGACCACCGUAAUGAUUAAUAGGGAUAGUUGGGGGCAUUAGUAUUCAAUUGUCAGAGGUGAAAUUCUUGGAUUUAUUGAAGACUAACUACUGCGAAAGCAUUUGCCAAGGAUGUCUUCAUUAAUCAAGAACGAAAGUUAGGGGAUCGAAGACGAUCAGAUACCGUCGUAGUCUUAACCAUAAACUAUGCCGACUAGGAAUCAGACGAUGUUAAUUUUUAAUGACUCGUUUGGC
RNAcentral lists this ribosomal RNA (520 nucleotides) under uncultured Entrophospora. Its description in RNAcentral is "SSU rRNA". It matches the Rfam family "Eukaryotic small subunit ribosomal RNA", at positions 569 to 1084 of the family's 1831-position model. The record is from RNAcentral. Lineage: Eukaryota; Fungi; Glomeromycota; Glomeromycetes; Entrophosporales; Entrophosporaceae.